CCAGCUCUAAUAGCAUAUAUUAAAGUUGUUGCAGUUAAAAAGCUCGUAGUCGGAUUUUGGGCGCGUGUGGGCAGUCGGCUUCCGUCGUACAGCACGCACGUGCCUUUCUGCUUGGAAUCCCCGCGGUUCGCCGUGGUGGGUUGCAGGCCGUUUACUUUGAAAAAAUUAGAGUGUUCAAAGCAGGCUAUUGCUUGAAUAGAUUAGCAUGGAAUAAUGGAAUAGGACCUCGGUGCUAUUUCGUUGGUUAUGGGACUGGGGUAAUGAUUAAUAGGGACAGUUGGGGCCGUUCAUAUUUCGUUGUCAGAGGUGAAAUUCUUGGAUUUACGAACGAUGAACUUGUGCGAAAGCAUUCGGCAAGGAUGUUUUCA
Molecule: ribosomal RNA, 368 nt
Filed under: uncultured Cryptomonas
Lineage: Eukaryota; Cryptophyceae; Cryptomonadales; Cryptomonadaceae
Description: SSU rRNA
Rfam family: Eukaryotic small subunit ribosomal RNA
Source: RNAcentral